CCACGGGGGGCAGCAGUAGGGAAUCUUCCACAAUGGACGAAAGUCUGAUGGAGCAACGCCGCGUGAGUGAAGAAGGGUUUCGGCUCGUAAAGCUCUGUUGGUAGUGGAGAAAGAUAGAGGUAGUAACUGGCCUUUAUUUGACGGUAAUUACUUAGAAAGUCACGGCUAACUACGUGCAGGCAGCCGCGGUAAUACAUAGGUGGCAAUCGUUGUCCGGAUUUAUUUGGCGUAAAGCGAGUGCAGGCGGUUCAAUAAGUCUGAUGUGAAAGCCUUCGGCUCAACCGGAGAAUUGCAUCAGAAACUGUUGAACUUGAGUGCAGAAGAGGAGAGUGGAACUCCAUGUGUAGCGGUGGAAUGCGUAGAUAUAUGGAAGAACACCAGUGGCGAAGGCGGCUCUCUGGUCUGCAACUGACGCUGAGGCUCGAAAGCAUGGGUAGCGAACAGGAUUAGAUACCCUAGUAGUC
RNAcentral lists this ribosomal RNA (464 nucleotides) under uncultured bacterium. RNAcentral's name for it is "partial 16S ribosomal RNA". It matches the Rfam family "Bacterial small subunit ribosomal RNA", at positions 339 to 795 of the family's 1533-position model. The record is from RNAcentral.